Monodelphis domestica (gray short-tailed opossum) is the source of this 4640-nucleotide non-coding RNA. The record is from RefSeq and is a predicted model, not a curated record. NCBI's taxonomy places the organism in Eukaryota, Metazoa, Chordata, Mammalia, Didelphimorphia, Didelphidae.
UGCUGGGUAUCCGGUCCCCUGCCGUCCCCUCUGCCUCAUCAUUGUCGUCCUUAUCAUCGCCAUUGCUGUCCAGCUCUGGCCAGAGCAUGAACAGCCCGGAAGGCUGGGACUCUUCAGCGCCUCAGAUGUGCAGGUGGUUCCCCAGCAUGGCUGCAGCUGACCGCUGUUCUCUCCAAUCCCUUCACUUCCCCUUUUUUUUCUUUAAGACUUAGAAAUUUGCGCUCACUCAGCUCGCAGGGAUACAGCAGAUGCCUUCAGGAUCUUUCAGAGGUGGGUAGGCAAAUGGCUUCUGCUGAGACUGUCCGAACACUGCGGGACAUGGUGACACUGUCUUACUUGUUGCUUUCCUGGGAUACAGCUUCUCCCCAGAGUGUCUGAGUCAAGCUGUCCAGAGUACCACCACGAUGCACCUCCUCUAGCAUCACCUGGCCCCUCCUUUAGGCAAAUGUUUCAUUAAGAAUCUUGUCAAGUGGUGAAGAAAAAGCCAGAAGUCCUCAUCCACAGGAUGGAAGAGGGUUUCCUGGACAGCCUCUUCAUUGGCACAGCUGUGGAUAAUCAUGUUCCAGCAAGGCUGGCACCCUCCAUUCUGGGACAUGGUAGCCAGUAGUGCUCAAGAGGUAGCUCUACCUGCAGGACUUCCCAGUACAGGAGCUCCACCUGAAAGAGCAGGGAGGAGUCUCUCAGGUACUUGUCGAAAACUAAUCUCAGGUACUUUCAGCCUCCUGGGAGAACCCCAAAUAGGACACAACUUUGGAAAGCUUCCUUUGCCCAUUACCUGGCUUAGCACCUGGGAAUGGGUACUUUUCUCGACUAAAUAUGACCAUCUUCUUGAUGGAACCAUGACAGUCACACCUGAGGUCGUAGACAGAGUCAUCCAGCCUGGGCUGAAGCAAUAACAUCAUACUAUUGGUCAGGGUGACUAUUUCUGAACUUCUGGUUUUCCCCAGGUUGUGACCACAUGGCUCUAGUUUUGUUGACAGCUGAUAACCCACAGUCCUGGUCUGGCAACAGGGAACUGGAGGACUCCAGGGGGGUGGAAAAAGUCACCUGAAGUACUCACUUAUGCCUGACUAUGUCAAGGUCCCAACCUGCUCUGUUGGCUACACUAAGGGUGGCUUUGGGGAGAAAGAAGGACACAAAACCCAAGAAUAAUACCACAAAUAUUCAUGAGAUGAAGAACUCCUAGAAAAAGUAAACAGGGAAUGGGUGCACAUGUAGGUUUGUCCAGGAGAGGAAGCAGAGGGGAGAUUCUUACAGACCAGAAGCACUAACACUGGUAGAGGGCAGGAGGGGCUCCCUCCUGGAGAUAUAGUUCCAUCAUGCCAGGAUAGGUGUACAGUGGUGGUGCUGAGACUCAGGUUCCUGCUGAUGCCUCUCAAAAAGGAAAGUCAGUCGAUCUCUUAUUUAGCAUACAUUUAUUGAGCAUUUAUUGCACAUCAGGCAGAGAGUCUUUUCACAUAAAAAGCAACAUGUAAAGGUGUAAGGUCUCCCAGAAGUUAAUCUUUGGUAUCCCCUUCCCUUUUUCAACUGCCUCAAAGGUUUCCACUUGCCACAGUCCAAUUUUACUACAUACCUAAAGCAUCUGACCACGAUAAGGAAACGAAGGGUCAUUUCAGUCCCAAGGAUGACAAGGCUACUCUCAAGAAGAUUGUGGGAAACUAAAGUGACUAUGAAAAUCAGACUCUCCAGAAGAUAGAAACAGAGACCAUGAUGGGCAAUUGCUAGAGAAUGGAAUGUCUUCAUGUUAAAUACAUAUAAUUCCUUCCCAUAUUAAAGCAGAAAUGAAUCAACCUCCCUGACUCAAACAUGACUCUGAUCUUCCAGAGAAGAAAAAGAGUUCAUGAAGGACCAUGGACUGAACUAAAAACAGUACCUGUUUUUUUUUUCCUUUUUUAGGAAGAUGGGUAUACUUUGCAUCCAUGUUGGGGGAACAAAGGAGAAAAAGAGGGCUAUGGGAAAAUGGGACCUUAUUUCAAGAUAGCCCAGCUGAGAUAGGUCCAUUCCUUUUAUAUGGGCUUUCAUUGUAUUGGCAGGAUCCACUGUGUCUGUUGUCAUGGAAAUGGAAUCUUUGCUAGUAGAGAUGGAGUCAGAUGAAGACAGCAAAUGGUGAGCUGAUGACUUCCUCUGAAGGAAAUAACCCUAGUAUGAAAAGACUUACUUGGACUUGUUUCAGAAUGUCUAGUAGUGUUAGAUUCCCACCCGGUUGUUGUGCCUUCUCUAAUGGCUGCCAUGUGGGAAAAGGGAAAAAGGUCCCUUUGGGGCUAGUGUCUAAGGAAGGAUUAGAGUCUAGCAUGCCCUUGGACUCAACUGUUGUGGAUCCAUGUGGGAGAGAGCUAGUGCCCAUAGAUACUCUAGAAGAAACGUUGGUUGGAGUAGGAGGGAGGGUUGUUCCAGAAAAGAAAUAGUUGUCUGAGUUGUCUCUGGACAUUGUUUCCCUGCAGCAGAAUUCACAGGUAGGACUGAUCAGAGCCUAGGCCAUAAGAGGUCCCUCCUAGUGUCUUUAAACUGGGAGGUACCAAAUCUGAGUAUCCAACCUCAAAAAGACUGGUUGGCCAUGUCCUCUGAGUUAUCCAGGGAUAGACCCCUGGGAACUGCUAUCUUUGUGUACUUGCUGGACAAUCCUGUGUCUAAAAGAGAUGAUUUGAGGUAGAGCUAAGAUGGAAUACAAGCAGAGAAAGCUCCAAUUGCUCUGAAAGUCCUCUCCAACCACUCUAAAAUAACAUUUCAAAAUGAAUUUUGGAGUAAUUGAACCAACACGGGCACAGAGUACAGUAACUUUCCUGCAGAAAAUAACUUGGAAGGUAGACAGGGGAUCUCUUUCACGGUGGUGAGAGGAGAAUGCAGCUGGCAGCAAAGCUGUACCAAAGAGUAAAGGCACAAGGCAAUAGCAACCCUUGCCAACUGCCCACCUACUGCUUUAGGUCUAGUCAUAGUCAAUUUUGGUACCCUGAGUCCCUGCCUAAGCCAAUUAACAGUACACCCCUUGCCUAAACCACGAAAUCCCAAGACCUAGCUCAAGCCUGUAAUGAGGCCCCAUACCCUAAUGCAAAGCAAUCCAUGGAGUUGCUGGCCAGUGCAACUCUAAGAGGAGGCUAGAACUCUUGGCAAAGACUGCAGUGAGGCACCAAACCCCAGUGUAAGGUAGUCCACAAAGAAUAUGCCUUAUAUAGAUGCAGAGUGCAAUGAAGCCCCAAGCCCCAGUGCAAAAGAGUUCACAGUGCAACUAGCUCAUGUUAGCCCUUGAAACUUGUUCCUGUUUUAAUAAAUAUUAUAAAAAUGACAAUUGUAUCUAAAUUAAUGUACUUAUUCAGUGACACACAAUUCAAACUAUUAAAGAUAUAUUUUCUAGAAGUAGAAAAAAUAUCAAAAUUCUCCCGGAAGAACAAUAGAGUAAGAAUUUAAUGAAGGGAAUAAAUGGCAAAAUGAAGGAAUAUGGCCUAGCAGUUCCAAAUCUCAAACUGACCUAUAAAGCUGAAACAUCAAAACAAUAUAGUCCUGGCUAAAAAGUGACAAGAUUCAAGCUUUGGGGAUAAGAACUCAAUGUUGAAUAAAAACUGCUGUGUAAACUGUGUAAACUGUUAAAACAGUGUGGCACAAAUCAGGUAGAAACCAAUAUCUCAUACCUUAUGCCAAGAUAAAGUCAAAAUGGGUAUAUGAUUUAGAACUAAAGAGUGAUGCUAUAAUAAACAAGGGAGGGUGGAAUGGUUUCUUGAUGGGUCUGUGCAAAAGUAAAUAAUUUAUGACCAAACAAGAGAUAGAAAACAUUACAAAAUAGAAAAUGAAUAAUUUUGAUUUCAUUAAUUUUUGUGUACAUGAAUCCCAUAUAACCAAGACUAGAAGGGAAACAAUAAAAAGGCGGGAGGGUAUAAAAUUUCUCUAAUAAAGAUCUUUUUCUCAAACUUGUAGAUAACUAAGUCAACUUUAUAAGAGUACAAGCCAUUCCCCAAUUGACAAAUGGUCAAAGGAUGUAAACUAGCAGUUUUCAGAUGAAGGAAGUAAAGGUGUGAACUAACCACGAAAGCUGUGAACACCCAUUUCAUACAUUGAGUGGGAGGUCUGUGACCCACAUGUGAAAGAGUGGGCAGUUCUGGUGUGGAGCAUUGGCUGUGAUUGGUAGACAUAAAAAUUAGGGGAAGCUACACAACAGAAAAAUGUCUUUAAAAUAGUGGAAAAAGAGACACACAGAGACAGUCCCUUGAAGUUGGAGUGAAGACAGUCACGUGGAGCUGGAGGGAAGACAGACACUUGAGGAGAGACUGGAAGAUAAACAGUCAGACUUGGAGUGAAGACUUGGCUGUGGAACUGGACCCGUGGAGGAGCUUGUGCAGGAGAUUUCAGACUACUUUCCUUUUAGACAGUCACAGUGGUGAGUGUCUAGGCUGACAUCUUCCUUGUCCUUUCUGGAGGUAUGAACCUCCAUGAAAGGCCAAUUGUCUUGAGACACCUUUCCCCUGACUGUUGCCUUAGAAUUUCUAACUGGUUCAGAGGAAACUGGAGCUCUAGCUCUCUCUCUCUCCCUCUGUCUCUGUCUAUCACUCUCUCUCUCUCUCACUCUCUUUCUUUCUUUGUCUCUCCCCUUUUCUCUCUUCCUUAAUAUCUUCCCUCUAUUGUAAAAAUAAACUACCAUAAAUUACACUUUA